CCAAGUUCGAUUUCCACCAAAUCAAAUUAUCUCAUCUCAUCGAAAGAUCGGGUCCCUUUGCCCUAUCAAGUGGUAUCAGAUUUCAGGUUGCUCGGUGAGAUUUUCGGUUCUACUAUGAUAGUUUGCAUCAGUUUUUCAUACCUAGAGUCCACAUUAAAAAGAAAAGCCACACACAAAAAAUUAGGGUUAGAUCACCCCGUCCCAUAAACUUGUUGAGCCAUCGCUUUUCUCUUUUCGAGUCUGCUUUGUUGACGUUACUUCUGCAUCGACUGGUCGAGUGCUGGUCUUAGGUUUAGUUCUUUUAGAGUUUCGAGUUCUGUUCACGUUCAUCACGCCGCUGUUGCCGCACCAUAUUGUUUUCGCAGCUCACCACCUUCCCACCAUACAUACUUCCGUCACCACCGCAUCAUCAUCGUGCCUCGGCACACCUCGAUCUCGUAGUUUUUAUCUUUCUUUCUUGUUCUCUAAGUUUUACCCCCUUUAUCUUCGUGCUAUAAUCUGGGCUGUAGUUGUUGUCCACAAGGAAAGUCCCCGCAAGGAAAGAACAAAAAAUCUGGGCUCUAAUUGUUGCCCGCAAGGAAAGUUUUGUCUGCAAAAAAAAAGAAAAAAGAAAAAUAAAUCGUGGUUAUACUUUUUUUUCACCUCGGGGUUCAGUUUGAGACACUCAUCUCCAUAGUGAGUUUUGGCACGUCCGUUCAUGACUCCUAGCAUCACCCUUUCGCUGUUUAUUGCUUUUAGUGCCGCACCGUGACACUGGUGUUCUAGGCUCGCGUCUCUUGUAUAGUCUAGCCUAGGACCAGCACGGUACCGUCGUUGAGCGUUCCUUCAACUUGCAUUCUUGAAUUGAGUUUUGCUAAUCCUUUCUAACAUAUUUUUGGCCUUCCUAUAGCUCCACAGAUUUCUACACCGUGUCGUGUGACGUUCCCAGGCAAUCGCUUUCUCCAAUCCUCAGAGUGACUGAUCUUUGUAAGUCGCCGCUCACGCCCUCCUGUUUGGUAAGAACUUGUAAGAGCUUUGUAUUUUGCUUGACAGAUUGCGCGAUUGUGCCCACACAUUCCAGUAGUCGUAGGCAUAUUUUUAUCUCUGCCAAGUACUAACCAUGACAGGAACAGCAACGGCCACGGAGAACGCCAACCCAGACACGAUGACUACCUCAGCACUUCAUGCUCACUUUACAAAAUUAGUUGUUGAUCAUGCGCAGGAUGUCGACACACGCUUCAUCAACACCAGGGAGAGGAUAGAUGGCCUCGAGGCAGCCUUACAAACUAAAAUUGAUGUCAAAUUUCAGG
This 1289-nucleotide long non-coding RNA is filed under the name Brachypodium distachyon (stiff brome). Its description in RNAcentral is "long non-coding RNA (BDIS_LNC005749)". The record is from RNAcentral. Lineage: Eukaryota; Viridiplantae; Streptophyta; Magnoliopsida; Poales; Poaceae.